This is a long non-coding RNA of Nicotiana attenuata, 672 nucleotides long. RefSeq lists it as uncharacterized. The record is from RefSeq and is a predicted model, not a curated record. The transcript has 2 exons. NCBI's taxonomy places the organism in Eukaryota, Viridiplantae, Streptophyta, Magnoliopsida, Solanales, Solanaceae.
ACGUCCCUAAGCAAGCAAGCAAGUACUACAAAAAGCAAUUACUUCUGUACCAAGAUUGAAGAAAUCCUCAAUUAAUGGCCCAAAGAAAGCAAUCAGUUUCUCUAAAAUUCUCAAAGAACUGCCAUUGGUUGUGUUCGUACCAACGCAAUAAAUAAAUCCUCAAAUUUGUCUGUUCUAUAUUGUAUGAUUAUGUCUAUGAUAUAAUUUCUAUCUCUGUCUUCUCACUUACGUAUAUGUGAUUUUUCAGGAGAAUAAUAGAGACUUACUCUGCAAAAAGUUGUUGUACGCUUCUGUGCUUCUUGAUUGGUUCUUGCUGAAGACAAAAGAUGCUAUAUAUGGACAAGAAGCUCUUUGAAAAUUACAAAGUAGGAGAUGUUUUCAGCAAUGCACAAAUUUUUGCAAUGCUUUAUAGGGCAGCUCUCAAUUGGACCAUAUGAUUUUCUUUGGCCAUGGUCUAAACAUAUAUCAACAUCAUAUAUUUGGUUGAUCGUGAGGCAGUGAGGCAUAGGAUGAUGAGUUAAAUGAUCGCAAACCAUACUUGUAGUUUUUCAUGAAUUGUCAAACUUGUGGCUUUUUAUAAAUUGUCAAGUGUGCAGUAGUACAAUUACUAUCACAGACUCCCGCUUGAUUUGGAUGCUUUUUCUUUGGACAAAAAAUAUUUUACAAUCUUAA